GCCUUCGUGGUGUAGUGGUCAGCAUGCUCAACGCGUAACCAAGAGGUCUGUGGUUCGAUUCCCGGCGAAGGCG
Non-coding RNA from Stegodyphus mimosarum, 73 nucleotides. The record is from Rfam. NCBI's taxonomy places the organism in Eukaryota, Metazoa, Arthropoda, Arachnida, Araneae, Eresidae.